AUAAGAUACCCCGGUAGUCCACGCCGUAAACGAUGAGUGCUAAGUGUUAGGGGGUUUCCGCCCCUUAGUGCUGCAGCUAACGCAUUAAGCACUCCGCCUGGGGAGUACGGUCGCAAGACUGAAACUCAAAGGAAUUGACGGGGGCCCGCACAAGCGGUGGAGCAUGUGGUUUAAUUCGAAGCAACGCGAAGAACCUUACCAGGUCUUGACAUCCCACUGACCGCUAUGGAGACAUAGUUUUCCCUUCGGGAACAGUGGUGACAAGUGGUGCAUGGUUGUUGUCAGCUCGUGUCGUGAGAUGUUGGGUUAAGUCCCGCAACGAGCGCAACCCUUGAUCUUAGUUGCCAUCAUUUAGUUGGGCACUCUAAGGUGACUGCCGGUGACAAACCGGAGGAAGGUGGGGAUGACGUCAAAUCAUCAUGCCCCUUAUGACCUGGGCUACACACGUGCUACAAUGGACGGUACAAACGGUUGCCGAACCCGCGAGGGGAGCUAAUCCGAUAAAACCGUCCUCAGUUCGGAUUGUAGGCUGCAACUCGCCUAC
RNAcentral lists this ribosomal RNA (544 nucleotides) under uncultured bacterium. Its description in RNAcentral is "bacterial SSU rRNA". It matches the Rfam family "Bacterial small subunit ribosomal RNA", at positions 777 to 1319 of the family's 1533-position model. The record is from RNAcentral.